RNAcentral lists this ribosomal RNA (488 nucleotides) under uncultured bacterium. RNAcentral's name for it is "partial 16S ribosomal RNA". It matches the Rfam family "Bacterial small subunit ribosomal RNA", at positions 28 to 507 of the family's 1533-position model. The record is from RNAcentral.
GACGAACGCUGGCGGCGUGCUUAACACAUGCAAGUCGAACGCGCCUGUCCUCUGGGUUUCUGGGGGGUGGGUGAGUGGCGAACGGGUGAGUAACACGUGAGUAACCUGCCCCCUUCUUCGGGAUAACGGUCUGAAAGGGCUGCUAAUACCGGGUAUUCACUGGUCUCCGCAUGGGGUCUGGUGUAAAGGUUUUUUUCUGGUGGGGGAUGGGCUCGCGGCCUAUCAGCUUGUUGGUGGGGUGAUGGCCCACCAAGGCUUUGACGGGUAGCCGGCCUGAGAGGGUGACCGGUCACAUUGGGACUGAGAUACGGCCCAGACUGCUACGGGAGGCAGCAGUGGGGAAUAUUGCACAAUGGGCGCAAGCCUGAUGCAGCGACGCCGCGUGAGGGAUGGAGGCCUUCGGGUUGUGAACCUCUUUCGCCCGUGGUCAAGCCGCGACGUGGGUCGUGGUGAGGGUAGUGGGUAAAGAAGCGCCGGCUAACUACGUG